This 649-nucleotide long non-coding RNA is filed under the name Brassica napus (rape). RNAcentral describes it as "long non-coding RNA (BNAP_LNC014266)". Lineage: Eukaryota; Viridiplantae; Streptophyta; Magnoliopsida; Brassicales; Brassicaceae. The record is from RNAcentral.
CUUUAUAUAUAUAAUAAAUAAAGAUUUAAAUAAAAAAUAAUAAAAAAUAAUUUUUUUAAUUUUUUUCUGAAUUAUACUAUUUCGAAAUUGAAAUCCUAAACCCUGAACCAUCAAUCCUAAACCCUAUUUUUUUUUUAAAUACGAACCCUAAACCCUAAACCAUCAAUCCUAAACCCUAUUUUUUUUUGAAAUAAACUCUAAACCCAGAAACAUCAACUCUAAACCCUAAACCCCGAAACAUCAACUCUAAACCCUAAACCCUAAACCUUCAACUCUAAACCCUGAAACAUUAACUCUAAACCCUAAACCCUAAACCCUAAACUUCAACUCUAAACCCUAAACCAUCAACACUAAACCCUAAACUAUCAACACUAAACUCUAAACCCUAAACCCUAAAAACUAAACUCGAAACCCUAAACCCUAAAAAAUUAACCCUAAACCCCGAAACAUCAACUCUAAACCCUAAACCCUAAACCUUCAACUCUAAACCCUGAAACAUUAACUCUAAACCCUAAACCCUAAACCCUAAACUUCAACUCUAAACCCUAAACCAUCAACACUAAACCCUAAACUAUCAACACUAAACUCUAAACCCUAAACCCUAAAAACUAAACUCGAAACCCUAAACCCUAAAAAAUUAACCCUAAAC